UACGUAGGGUGCAAGCGUUAAUCGGAAUUACUGGGCGUAAAGCGUGCGCAGGCGGCGAUGCAAGACAGGUGUGAAAUCCCCGGGCUCAACCUGGGAACUGCAUCUGUGACUGCAUUGCUGGAGUGCGGCAGAGGGGGAUGGAAUUCCGCGUGUAGCAGUGAAAUGCGUAGAUAUGCGGAGGAACACCGAUGGCGAAGGCAGUCCCCUGGGCCUGCACUGACGCUCAUGCACGAAAGCGUGGGGAGCAAACAGG
RNAcentral lists this ribosomal RNA (253 nucleotides) under uncultured bacterium. Its description in RNAcentral is "partial 16S ribosomal RNA". It matches the Rfam family "Bacterial small subunit ribosomal RNA", at positions 524 to 776 of the family's 1533-position model. The record is from RNAcentral.